CCACGCACGCUGACGGAGCGCAAUGGGAGCGCGUCCAACGCAGCCUUCUCGACCCCUCUCGAACGGAACGGUCAAAAAAAAAUAAUAAUAAAUGAAACGAUACCUCUACUUUCGGUUAGAGUAUUCCGUCAAACAAAACCACCUCCCCCCAGUUGGAAACUUAUCAACGCCAGCCGAACCGCAAGGGACGGCCGAGCCAGCCGCUGACACGGUCGGUGACCUCCCAACUCCAACUCCCUAAAAUUCAAUUCAAACCCUAUCAGUUAUCAGCCGACGACGCACCAUCCGAUAAAAAAAAAAGAAAUCAAUUAAAGGCUGGCGUCCGUCGUUACUUCCAGCAUCCCGAUUUCCACGCCCCUGACGUCUUCUUGCCAUCUUUUUUCCCAUCCUUCUUUUAAAUUUAUUACUAUUUUAAAAAGCCAAAAAAAAAAUC
Molecule: long non-coding RNA, 433 nt
Filed under: Phoenix dactylifera (date palm)
Lineage: Eukaryota; Viridiplantae; Streptophyta; Magnoliopsida; Arecales; Arecaceae
Description: long non-coding RNA (PDAC_LNC004197)
Source: RNAcentral